This 72-nucleotide transfer RNA is filed under the name Capra hircus (goat). It matches the Rfam family "tRNA". From Rfam's summary of the family: Transfer RNA (tRNA) molecules are approximately 80 nucleotides in length. Their secondary structure includes four short double-helical elements and three loops (D, anti-codon, and T loops). Lineage: Eukaryota; Metazoa; Chordata; Mammalia; Artiodactyla; Bovidae. RNAcentral also lists the same sequence under 1 other name. The record is from Rfam by way of RNAcentral.
UCCCUGGAGGUCCAGGGGUUAGGACUUGGAACUUUCACUGCCAUGGCCCAGGUUCAAUCCCUGGCUGGGGAA